This 253-nucleotide ribosomal RNA is filed under the name uncultured bacterium. RNAcentral's name for it is "partial 16S ribosomal RNA". It matches the Rfam family "Bacterial small subunit ribosomal RNA", at positions 524 to 776 of the family's 1533-position model. The record is from RNAcentral.
UACGAAGGGGGCUAGCGUUGUUCGGAAUUACUGGGCGUAAAGCGCACGUAGGCGGGUCGUUAAGUCAGGGGUGAAAUCCCGGAGCUCAACUCCGGAACUGCCUUUGAUACUGGCGAUCUUGAGAUCGGAAGAGGUGAGUGGAAUCCCCAGUGUAGAGGUGAAAUUCGUAGAUAUUCGGUGGAACACCAGUGGCGAAGGCGACUCGCUGGACUGAUACUGACGCUGAGGUGCGAAAGCGUGGGGAGCAAACAGG